Molecule: non-coding RNA, 249 nt
Organism: Arachis ipaensis
Lineage: Eukaryota; Viridiplantae; Streptophyta; Magnoliopsida; Fabales; Fabaceae
Source: RefSeq, a predicted model, not a curated record
UGAUCGUCUACUUCGGCUGUGCCACUUGCAACUAAAUCAAGCAACUGUCUUGGUAUCAUUCCUCCACCUCCACUACUACCCCCUUCCUUUUUCUCACAGUAACAAUUCGUUUUCUUCAAUAUUACCUCAUGAUUUUCUGUGGUGGUCUCGGAAACUUGCUGUUUCUGUUGGUGUUGCAUUAAUGCGGCAACUUGCAUUUGCAAAUUCAUGUAGCUACUUCUCAUAUGGUUGAGCGUCUCCUUUAGCUUU